UAAUACAUGCAAGUCGAGCGAUGAGGCUCCUUCGGGAGUACAUCAGCGGCGAACGGGUGAGUAACACGUGGGUGACUUGCCCCGAAGAUGGGGAUAACUCUGGAAACGGGGGCUAAUACCCAAUGUGCUCGGUGAUUCGGUUCAUCGAGUAAAGCUCCGGCGCUUCGGGAGAGGCCUGCGGCCCAUCAGCUAGUUGGUAGGGUAACGGCCUACCAAGGCAGAGACGGGUAGGGGGCGUGAGAGCGCGGACCCCCACACUGGCACUGAGAUACGGGCCAGACUCCUACGGGAGGCAGCAGUAAGGGAUAUUGCGCAAUGGACGAAAGUCAGACGCAGCGACGCCGCGUGGGCGAUGAAGGCCUUCGGGUUGUAAAGCCCUUUUAUGGGGGAAGAGAAAAAGGACGGUACCCCAGGAAUAAGUCCCGGCUAACUACGUGCCAGCAGCCGCGGUAAAACGUAGGGGACAAGCGUUAUCCGGAUUCACUGGGCGUAAAGAGCGUUGAGGCGGUUCCGUAAGUUGGGCGUGAAAGCUCCGGGCUUAACUCGGAGAUGUCGUUCAAUACUGCGGGGCUUGAGGACAGCAGAGGAAGGUGGAAUUCCCGGUGUAGUGGUGAAAUGCGUAGAUAUCGGGAGGAACACCCGUGGCGAAGGCGGCCUUCUGGGCUGUUCCUGACGCUGAAGGCGAAAGCUAGGGGAGCGAACGGGAUUAGAUACCCCGGUAGUCCUAGCUGUAAACGAUGGAUGCUGGGUGUGGGGGGUGUAAAUUCCCUCUGUGCCGAAGCAAACGCGUUAAGCAUCCCGCCUGGGGACUACGGCCGCAAGGCUAAAACUCAAACGAAUUGACGGGGGCCCGCACAAGCAGCGGAGCGUGUGGUUUAAUUCGAUGCUACACGAAGAACCUUACCUGGGUUUGACAUGCACGUGGUAGGGAACCGAAAGGGGACCGACCUUCGGGAGCGUGCACAGGUGCUGCAUGGCUGUCGUCAGCUCGUGCCGUGAGUNGUCGGGUUAAGUCCCGUAACGAGCGCAACCCUUGCCCUUAGUUACAAGUGUCUAAGGGGGACUGCCCGGGACAACUGGGAGGAAGGUGGGGAUGACGUCAAGUCAGCAUGG
This 1113-nucleotide ribosomal RNA is filed under the name uncultured organism. RNAcentral describes it as "bacterial SSU rRNA". It matches the Rfam family "Bacterial small subunit ribosomal RNA", at positions 49 to 1198 of the family's 1533-position model. The record is from RNAcentral.